GUAGGGAAUAUUGGACAAUGGGCGAAAGCCUGAUCCAGCAAUGCCGCGUGAGUGAUGAAGGCCUUAGGGUUGUAAAGCUCUUUUACCAGGGAUGAUAAUGACAGUACCUGGAGAAUAAGCUCCGGCUAACUCCGUGCCAGCAGCCGCGGUAAUACGGAGGGAGCUAGCGUUGUUCGGAAUUACUGGGCGUAAAGCGCGCGUAGGCGGCGAUUUAAGUCAGAGGUGAAAGCCCGGGGCUCAACCCCGGAAUAGCCUUUGAGACUGGAUUGCUAGAAUCCUGGAGAGGUGAGUGGAAUUCCGAGUGUAGAGGUGAAAUUCGUAGAUAUUCGGAAGAACACCAGUGGCGAAGGCGGCUCACUGGACAGGUAUUGACGCUGAGGUGCGAAAGCGUGGGGAGCAAACAGGAUUAGAUACCCGUGUAGUCC
RNAcentral lists this ribosomal RNA (425 nucleotides) under uncultured bacterium. RNAcentral describes it as "partial 16S ribosomal RNA". It matches the Rfam family "Bacterial small subunit ribosomal RNA", at positions 354 to 796 of the family's 1533-position model. The record is from RNAcentral.